Molecule: ribosomal RNA, 350 nt
Filed under: uncultured bacterium
Lineage: Bacteria
Description: bacterial SSU rRNA
Rfam family: Bacterial small subunit ribosomal RNA
Source: RNAcentral
AGGGAAUCUUCCACAAUGGACGAAAGUCUGAUGGAGCAACGCCGCGUGCAGGAUGAAUGCCUUCGGGUUGUAAACUGCUUUUAUAAGUGAGGAAUUUGACAGUAACUUAUGAAUAAGGAUCGGCUAACUCCGUGCCAGCAGCCGCGGUCAUACGGAGGAUCCAAGCGUUAUUCGGAAUUACUGGGCGUAAAGAGUUGCGUAGGCGGCUUUAUAAGCGUGUGAUGAAAUCUUGUGGCUCAACCAUGAGACUAUUACGCGAACUGUAAAGCUAGAAUAUAUGAGGGGUACCUAGAAUUCCCGGUGUAGGAGUGGAAUCCGUAGAUAUCGGGAGGAAUACCAAUGGCGUAGGC